UCACAUUGUUUCUAAGUGCCCUAGCCGAGCCCUAGUUCUGGACGAACGUGAGGAUAUAGUCGUCGAACCACUAGAGGAUCAGAUUUAUGAGCCUAAGUUAGAAGAGUUUGAAGACUUGGAGGGCAGUGAGGAUACCUUCUUAGGUUGUAUUCAGGCUAGUCCCAUUAUCCCACAUACACCCAGAGUCGGUGUCGUCCGUUGCACCCUCACCCAGCCUAAGGAUGCCGACGAUUGGCGCCGUCAUGCCAUCUUCCACACCUACAUCAAGAUUAAUAACAAGGGCUGUAAAGUUAUCGUGGAUAGUGGCAGCUGUAUUAAUGCGGUUUCGAAGGCUACUAUAUCCCGUCUAGGGUUGAAGCCAGUUCCUCACCCCCAGCCUUAUAGUGUCUCUUGGGUUGACACCUCCUCUAUAGCUGUCCAGCCUUAUAGUGUCUCUGGGUUGACACCUCCUCUAUAGCUGUUAAGGAGCGUUGUUUAGUCCCUAUCCAGUUCCUGGAGUAUAAGGACCAUAUAUGGUGUGACGUUAUUUCGAUGGACGUCGGACACAUCAUCUUAGGACGACCUUGGCUAUUUGACCUAGAUGUAACCAUAUAUGGUCGAUCCAAUUCCUGCUCCUUCGUGUUUAAUGGAAAGAAAAUUUACCUUAACCCACUACCCCCAAAGCCGGCUGGCUCACUAGAAGCGAAGAAAAGUGUGGAACAAAAGGGGUUGCAUAUCAUUAGUCCUACAGAGUUUGAGCGUACAAUUGUUGGUGACUCAAUUGUGUUCGCCUUAGUAGUCAUGGAGGUUUCAUCUAACUCCACAAGUGAGGAUACUGCGGAAGUCCAAUCGAUCCUUCAGGAGUUUCGAGAUGUCUUUCCGGAGGACCUACCUGAUCAUCUACCUCCGCUAAGAGAUAUUCAACAUGCCAUAGAUUUCGUCCCCGGCGCUUCCCUUCCAAAUUUGCCACAUUAUAGGAUGAAUCCUACCGAGCACGCUGAGCUCCAAAGGCAAGUGAAUGACCUUCUCAACAAAGGAUUCAUUCGUGAGAGUUUAAGCCCAUGUGCUGUCCCCGCCCUAUUGACGCCCAANNNN
Molecule: long non-coding RNA, 1074 nt
Filed under: Olea europaea (common olive)
Lineage: Eukaryota; Viridiplantae; Streptophyta; Magnoliopsida; Lamiales; Oleaceae
Description: long non-coding RNA (OEUR_LNC008572)
Source: RNAcentral